GGAGCGUUCUGUAAGCCUGCGAAGGUGUGCUGUGAGGCAUGCUGGAGGUAUCAGAAGUGCGAAUGCUGACAUAAGUAACGAUAAAGCGGGUGAAAAGCCCGCUCGCCGGAAGACCAAGGGUUCCUGUCCAACGUUAAUCGGGGCAGGGUGAGUCGACCCCUAAGGCGAGGCCGAAAGGCGUAGUCGAUGGGAAACAGGUUAAUAUUCCUGUACUUGGUGUUACUGCGAAGGGGGGACGGAGAAGGCUAUGUUGGCCGGGCGACGGUUGUCCCGGUUUAAGCGUGUAGGCUGGUUUUCCAGGCAAAUCCGGAAAAUCAAGGCUGAGGCGUGAUGACGAGGCACUACGGUGCUGAAGCAACAAAUGCCCUGCUUCCAGGAAAAGCCUCUAAGCAUCAGGUAACAUCAAAUCGUACCCCAAACCGACACAGGUGGUCAGGUAGAGAAUACCAAGGCGCUUGAGAGAACUCGGGUGAAGGAACUAGGCAAAAUGGUGCCGUAACUUCGGGAGAAGGCACGCUGAUAUGUAGGUGAAGUCCCUUGCGGAUGGAGCUGAAAUCAGUCGAAGAUACCAGCUGGCUGCAACUGUUUAUUAAAAACACAGCACUGUGCAAACACGAAAGUGGACGUAUACGGUGUGACGCCUGCCCGGUGCCGGAAGGUUAAUUGAUGGGGUCAGCGCAAGCG
RNAcentral lists this ribosomal RNA (684 nucleotides) under Shigella sonnei. RNAcentral describes it as "partial 23S ribosomal RNA". It matches the Rfam family "Bacterial large subunit ribosomal RNA", at positions 1233 to 1901 of the family's 2925-position model. The record is from RNAcentral. Lineage: Bacteria; Pseudomonadati; Pseudomonadota; Gammaproteobacteria; Enterobacterales; Enterobacteriaceae.